This 253-nucleotide ribosomal RNA is filed under the name uncultured prokaryote. Its description in RNAcentral is "partial 16S ribosomal RNA". It matches the Rfam family "Bacterial small subunit ribosomal RNA", at positions 524 to 776 of the family's 1533-position model. The record is from RNAcentral.
UACGUAGGUGGCAAGCGUUGUCCGGAUUUAUUGGGUUUAAAGGGUGCGUAGGCGGUCAAUUAAGUCAGUGGUGAAAUACGGCAGCUCAACUGUCGAGGUGCCAUUGAUACUGGUUGACUUGAGUACUGAUGAGGUAGGCGGAAUGGACGGUGUAGCGGUGAAAUGCUUAGAGAUCGUCCAGAACACCGAUAGCGAAGGCAGCUUACUAAAGUGUGAUUGACGCUGAGGCACGAAAGCGUGGGGAUCAAACAGG